UGGGGAAUAUUGCACAAUGGGCGCAAGCCUGAUGCAGCCAUGCCGCGUGUGUGAAGAAGGCCUUCGGGUUGUAAAGCACUUUCAGCGAGGAGGAAGGGUAGUGUGUUAAUAGCACAUUGCAUUGACGUUACUCGCAGAAGAGGCACCGGCUAACUCCGUGCCAGCAGCCGCGGUAAUACGGAGGGUGCAAGCGUUAAUCGGAAUUACUGGGCGUAAAGCGCACGCAGGCGGUUUGUUAAGUCAGAUGUGAAAUCCCCGCGCUUAACGUGGGAACUGCAUUUGAAACUGGCAAGCUAGAGUCUUGUAGAGGGGGGUGA
Molecule: ribosomal RNA, 317 nt
Filed under: uncultured bacterium
Lineage: Bacteria
Description: partial 16S ribosomal RNA
Rfam family: Bacterial small subunit ribosomal RNA
Source: RNAcentral